RNAcentral lists this non-coding RNA (29 nucleotides) under Mus musculus (house mouse). The record is from RNAcentral. Lineage: Eukaryota; Metazoa; Chordata; Mammalia; Rodentia; Muridae.
CCAGGUUCUCAGUCUCUGGCAUCCCAUCC